This is a non-coding RNA of Rhodocollybia butyracea, 96 nucleotides long. The record is from the annotation of a GenBank genome assembly. NCBI's taxonomy places the organism in Eukaryota, Fungi, Basidiomycota, Agaricomycetes, Agaricales, Omphalotaceae.
UCCCUGGUAGUAUAUCGGUUAGUACACGCGCCUGUCAUUGUCCUGGUUGAUUGCUAGUUAGCGCGCGAAAGCUGGGUUCGACUCCCAGCCAGGGAG